ACUUGUGAGAAGAAGCUACCGAGCUUUUUUUAGUGAAGGGGACAUAUUCAUGUUCUGAAGUUCUGCGCAAAUCUGUAAAUGGAUAAAUGUCGCUAGACUGAAAAGCCUUUUUUUCUAUUUAAUUCUUCAAAGUUAGAUAUGUUUCCGUAAUUGCGGAAAAGUUUUAAACUUUUAUAAGCUUUAAUACAAAGGUCUAAUUCUGAAACGAUAAAAAGAAAACAAAAAGAAAAGAAGACAAGCAACACGGAAAAUAAAAGAAAAAACAAAACAAGAGAGAGAGAAAAAAAAACAGAACAAGAGAGAAAAUUUU
Penaeus monodon (black tiger shrimp) is the source of this 310-nucleotide long non-coding RNA. RefSeq lists it as uncharacterized. Lineage: Eukaryota; Metazoa; Arthropoda; Malacostraca; Decapoda; Penaeidae. The record is from RefSeq and is a predicted model, not a curated record. The transcript is spliced from 2 exons.